RNAcentral lists this unclassified non-coding RNA (200 nucleotides) under soil metagenome. Its description in RNAcentral is "partial contains internal transcribed spacer 2 and large subunit ribosomal RNA". The record is from RNAcentral.
UGCUUGAAAUGCAGGUGCAGCUAGACAUUCUUCUGAGCUAAAAGCAUAUUUAUUUAGUCCCGUCAAACGGAUUAUUACUUUUUGCUCUAGCUAAUAUAAAGGUCGAGUGCGCUACUAUGCUGACUGAUGCAGGAUUCACAAAGCCGUUCUGGUUUUGUAAACUCGAUCUCAAAUCAAGUAAGACUACCCGCUGAACUUAA